Hordeum vulgare subsp. vulgare (domesticated barley) is the source of this 1975-nucleotide long non-coding RNA. RefSeq lists it as uncharacterized. The transcript is spliced from 3 exons. The record is from RefSeq and is a predicted model, not a curated record. NCBI's taxonomy places the organism in Eukaryota, Viridiplantae, Streptophyta, Magnoliopsida, Poales, Poaceae.
AGUGCAACACACGUAUCAUAAUCUAUAAUAAGACAUUAUUUAAUCUUAUUUAUCAGUUCUUUGUCAUGUCAUUUAAAUGUGUCUCAUGCACAUGAUGAGAGUGCGCGUGUAACACGAUUCGAAAACAUGUCUUCACAUAUAAUUCACAAUCACAUAAAUGUACUAUCAUUAGGUACAAAAAUAUUAAAAAACAACUGAGAAACAAUAUCUACUAUUUGUUCUUUGAUGAUUAUUCCGUUUGUUUCUACAUAUAAUUUUUUUUAGAGAUUUUAUUAACAAAUUACAUAUGAAUGUAAAAAUUUGGUAGUAGAAAAGGUCACAACGACGUAGAACUCAGCACACAGUCGGACACAUGCCCCGAUCAGGAAAAGAAACUGAACAACUCGGUUUGCUCCACUCGCUCACUCCACAUGUGGAUAAGCUCCACUCUCCCUCAUAGAACACGACUGCCCCUCUUCCACUGCAUCCCCACCGGCGGCGAGACGAACACCCACCCGUGGCCGGUCCAUGGCGGCCGCCCUUCCUUAGCCGCCGCGCCAGUCGCUGGCCUAUGCCCCCCCUCUUGCCGUUCGCCUACACCAGCCUCACAAUCUCACCCACUCCCCCCUUCCCACACCCGAUCCACAUCCCGAUCCAGGAGAUCCCCGGCCACCCAACGCCGUCGCUCUCUGGUGGCCGCCCCUCCCUUUCGUCUCCAUUGCCGGCGGAUGCCCCUCCCCUUCGCCAUCACCGCCGGCGGACGCCCCGCCCCUGCUCUGCCCCGCACCGCCCCACCUUCAUAUCCGCUGACGCCGGCAUGCUCGCUGGCGAUGUCGGGCAAUCCCCCCCCCUCCGGACAUGGGGGCGCUCGAGCUCGGCAUGCUCGCCGGUGACGCCAGUGUCCUCCCUCCUCGACGCCGUCGCUCUCUAGUGGACGGCCCUCCCCUUCGUCACCACUGCCGGCGGACGCCACUCGCCGCCAUGAGCCUAUCCACCUUCUCUCGUGCGACACGAACUUCCAUCCCCGUGCUCGGGACGCCAUUAAGGUCCGGUUGCAGCUCUUCUUCUCCCCUCGAUCCGGAUGCUCUGCUCUCCAACCCGAUCUAUUCCAAGCGAAAGAUUUUUUUUCAUCCUCUCAUGCCCAUUGCCUCUAGCAAAUGUCAUCUCCCAGCUCAUGGCCUCGCCCCCAUGUUUUUUUCUUACUGCACUAAGCUGCAAAAGGACACAAAAGCUUUUCUAUCGGUUAAUUUAAUUGGUCACAAACUCACAAUACUCCAUACACAAUCAGUGAUAAUAAGAUUGCCCCUUUCGUGUUUUCUGCGGAAAGUAGCCUCCAUGCUUCUCAAAUCUGGGUGAUGUUUUGUUCAUAGACUUUCAUCCAAAGAGAAGCACAUCGAUGGAGAAAAAAGACGUAGUCAAAGGGAAUUUGUUUCAGAGCAGAUCGAGAUGCGAGCUGGUGGACACGAUGAGGGAGCAAGCAUCUUGAAUUGGACAGUCGAUCUGUUCUAGGGAGGAGUUCACAGCUUGCCUAUUUCCUCCAUUGCUGCAGAAAGACAACCAGAUCAGUCAAAGCAAUAGAUGGAUCUGAACGCAGAGAGAAGGCAACACCUUAUACGGCGUAUAGCUUGUCGUUGCGGCCUUGGACGGGUGCCUCGGCGGCUGCAGCUGUAUUGGUGAAGACCUCGUCGUCGCGGCCGUUGGAGGAUGCGUCGACGUUUGCAGCUCUGUUGGUGGAGAGGUCGUCGUAGCGGCUGUUGGUUGAUGCGUCGACGGCUGCGUCUCGACGGCGACGACGACGCACGAACUGCUGGACGUGAAUUAUUUGUUGCUGUUUGUUUCCCUUACUUGCUGUUUGUUUCCGUAAUAAGUUGCUGGACGUGACGUGAAUUCUGCUUCUUUCUGUUUUAUGAUUUCCCUUAUUUCCUGUUUGUUUCCGUAAUAAGUUGCUAGACGUGACGUGAAUUCAGCUACUUUCUGUUAUAUAUGAUUUCCCUUA